This 67-nucleotide transfer RNA is filed under the name Diaphanosoma excisum. RNAcentral's name for it is "tRNA-Arg". The record is from RNAcentral. Lineage: Eukaryota; Metazoa; Arthropoda; Branchiopoda; Diplostraca; Sididae.
AAGUUUGAAGUAAUAAUUUACAUCUAGUUUCGACCUAGAAUUAGAUCGUCUUCACGAUCCUUACUUU